CGCCGACAGCUGGCGGCGUGCCUAAUACAUGCAGUCGAGCGGACGUUUUUGAAGCUUGUUCAAAAACGUUAGCGGCGGACGGGUGAGUAACACGUGGGCAACCUACCUUAUCGACUGGGAUAACUCCGGGAAACCGGGGCUAAUACCGGAUAACAUCUAGCACCUCCUGGUGCCGGAUUAAAAGAGGGCUUCUUGCUCUCACGAUGAGAUGGGCCCGCGGCGCAUUAGCUAGUUGGAGAGGUAACGGCUCCCCAAGGCGACGAUGCGUAGCCGACCUGAGAGGGUGAUCGGCCACACUGGGACUGAGACACGGCCCAGACUCCUACGGGAGGCAGCAGUAGGGAAUCUUCCGCAAUGGACGAAAGUCUGACGGAGCAACGCCGCGUGAGUGAUGAAGGGUUUCGGCUCGUAAAGCUCUGUUAUGAGGGAAGAACACGUACCGUUCGAAUAGGGCGGUACCUUGACGGUACCUCAUCAGAAAGCCACGGCUAACUACGUGCCAGCAGCCGGUUUAAUAU
RNAcentral lists this ribosomal RNA (518 nucleotides) under Alkalicoccobacillus gibsonii. Its description in RNAcentral is "bacterial SSU rRNA". It matches the Rfam family "Bacterial small subunit ribosomal RNA", at positions 28 to 526 of the family's 1533-position model. The record is from RNAcentral. Lineage: Bacteria; Bacillati; Bacillota; Bacilli; Caryophanales; Bacillaceae.